This is a long non-coding RNA of Acinonyx jubatus (cheetah), 2515 nucleotides long. RefSeq lists it as uncharacterized. The transcript has 3 exons. Lineage: Eukaryota; Metazoa; Chordata; Mammalia; Carnivora; Felidae. The record is from RefSeq and is a predicted model, not a curated record.
CAGAACCGUGAGAGUAAAUUUCUGCUGUUUAAGCCCCCAAGUCCGUGGUCCUUUGUUCCUCAGCCCCAGCAGAUGAAUACAUCACCCAGAAGGGCCAGCCAGAGGGGAACCUACGGAGGGGACAGAGCAUCCUGUGGUCCCAGCCAGGCUGCCCCCUGCUGGGGGCUCUUCCUUGCUGCUCAGCGGUCCCUAAUUAGGAUGUGACCCACACCUCUCGGUAGCACUGAGCAGAGAGUGACCCUGAAAUAAAUGUACAAUUGACUCUUGAACAACAUGGGUUCGAACUGCCUGGGUCCGUAUAUACACGGGUUUUUGCAAUAAAUACAGGACGGUGCUGUAAAUGUAUUUUCUCUUCCUUAUGACUUUCUUACUAACACUCUUCUGUUUUUACUUUAAAGAGAGAAAGAGAGCACGCGUGCGCUUGCGCGAGUGGGGGAGGGGCAGAGAGACAGAGACCCCCCCCCCCCCCCCCCCGCCCCAAGCCGGCUCCGCACCAUCAGCACAGCCCCACGCGGGGCUCCAACCCACGACCAGGAGAUCACGACCUGAGCCGAAAUCGGGAGUCGGGCGCUCGACCCACUGAGCCACCCGGGCGCCCCUUCUGUUGUUUUAUUGCAAGAAUACAGUUUAUAAUAUACAGAAGAUGUAUUCGUCGACUGCUCGUGUUCUCGGAAAGGCUUCUGGUCUAUGGUAGUACAUCACUCUCAAGCUGGCGGGGUGGGGGGUGGGGGAGAUCCGAAGUUACACGUGGGUUUCGACUCCCCAGCCCCACACCGUUGAAGGGCCAACGGCUCGCGACUUUAUAAGGGGUUAAGCGGCCUUUAUUGCAACGCUUAGGCGCGUCCUCUCCUGGGGGUAACGGGGAAGAGGUUAAGGAGUCUUCCUUCCCACCUUCCGCCUCCACGGCCUUGACUCCCCCACCGCAGGAAACAAAACGCCUGUCCAUUUGGUUACUGGGACCCAAAACUGAGGAACCACCUGCCAUCUUUUUUUUUUUUAAUUUUUAUUUAUUUUUCAGAGAGAGAGAGAGAGAUUGCGAGCACCAGCAGGGAAGGGGCAGAGAGGGAGGGAGACACAGAAUCCCAAGCAGGCUCCAGACUCCGAGCUGUCAGCACACAGCCCGACACGGGGCUCGAUCCCACGGACCACGAGAUCAUGACCUGAGCCGAAGUCCAACACUUAAUCGCCUGAGCCGCCAGGCGCCCCUGUGUGUCUCUUGCAGAGCAGAAGUUGUUAAUAUUGAUGAAGUCCAGCUUAUCAUGAUCCCUUUAUGAAUCAUGCUUGAAACUUAGUUCUACCUUUGAACGUUUGGAUCACCUGAACCAACAAAUUCCCCUUUUGUUUCAGCAGAGGACGCCAUGUGCCUUUCCAGAAGCUGACCCAAGUGGAUCUGCGCCCAAGGCAGCCUCCUCCCGGCACAGGCUGUGAACGGUGGGUCACGGCCAUCAGCUCCACAGGGUCUCCGGGAACAGUUUGCUCACCCAGCGUCUCCGUCCCAUCAGCGUCCCUUCUGCUGCUUUAACUGCUGCUCUCUCUCCGAGUAGAGUGUUUUCUGGAGCGUGUCCCCCGCACGCCUCAUCCACAUGGGCCCAGUUACCGUCCAGCUCUCCAGCGGGUCUGGGCUUGGAUUCUCUGGGCGCAUUUGGCGGUUCUGUGCCAUUCUCCCUUUUCUCCCCCAAAUACACGGGGGCGCCCUCUCAUCGCGGCCCUUUCUCGGUACUCUGCUCCCACUUCCCAGAGAGAGUCCUGGCAAAAACCUUCCUGAAAAUCCCAUCCAAACCCUAAAGUAAAUAUUUCUCCAGCGUUCUCCUUUUAGUCUCCAGGAUGAUGACCCCUUCGCUUGUUUUCCAGAACUUUUUUCACAAUCCCUUUGGUUUUUUAAAAAAUUUGUUUGUUUUCGGUAUUCUCCACACCCAACACGGGGCUUGAACUCACAGCCCCGAGAUCAAGUCACGUCCGUGCUCUUCCAGCUGAGCCAGCCAGGCGCCCCAUCCCUAUGAUAUUUUUGCCACUAUUUUAGACACACAGAAUUGUAUAAACAUAACAUCAGGAAUACCUGUAGACCACCCCUCACCCGCUUCUUUUUCUCUUUACUCACCUAAAAAGCAGACCCACCUGUCAGACUCAGUGCUGAUGAACCUGUAGACAGAUACGUAGAUUGCUCUGGAUCCCACUCUGCCUGUGGGGGCAGGGCUGAGUCCCUCUCAGGGCGGGCAGUGGGAAGGCCCUCGACUGGGGGACACGAUAUUGCUCUGACAGUGAACGUCACUUCUGGCCAUAAGCUAUAAAGCCCAGCACAGAAACCAGCUGUACCGAACCCGUCAAAGGAGGCUGCAGGGAUGCAGGGAUGGGUGGUUUGGUUGGUUAAGCGUCCAACUUCUGCUCAGGUCACGAUCUCCUGGUUCGUCAGUUCAAGCCCCACAUCCGGCUCUCUGCUGUCAGCUCAGAGCCUGCUUUGGAUCCUCUGUCCUCCUCUCUCUGCCCCUACACUGCUCAUGCCCUUUCUCUCUCUCUC